RNAcentral lists this transfer RNA (77 nucleotides) under Planctomycetota bacterium. Its description in RNAcentral is "Planctomycetes bacterium tRNA-Asp". It matches the Rfam family "tRNA". From Rfam's summary of the family: Transfer RNA (tRNA) molecules are approximately 80 nucleotides in length. Their secondary structure includes four short double-helical elements and three loops (D, anti-codon, and T loops). Lineage: Bacteria; Pseudomonadati; Planctomycetota. The record is from RNAcentral.
GGGGCAUUCGCCUAGUGGUCUAUGGCACCGGCCUGUCGAGCCGGAUUCCAGGGGUUCGAAUCCCCUAUGUUCCGCCG